Molecule: ribosomal RNA, 346 nt
Filed under: uncultured bacterium
Lineage: Bacteria
Description: partial 16S ribosomal RNA
Rfam family: Bacterial small subunit ribosomal RNA
Source: RNAcentral
CCUACGGGAGGCAGCAGGGAGGAAUAUUGGUCAAUGGCCGGAAGGCUGAACCAGCCAAGCCGCGUGAGGGAGGAAGGCGCAGAGCGUCGCAGACCUCUUUUGCCGGGGGACAAAAGGCCGGACGCGUCCGGUCCUGAGGGUACCCGGAGAAAAAGCAUCGGCUAACUCCGGGCCAGCAGCCGCGGUAAUACGGAGGAUGCGAGCGGUAGCCGGAUUCAUUGGGUUUAAAGGGUGCGCAGGCGGGCCUUUAAGCCGGCGGGGAACUCGCGGGGCUCCACCCCGCCGAGCCGUCGGAACUGGGGGCCUUGAGUGCGGCGGCGGCAUGCGGACUGCGCGGUGUCGCGGU